GAAAUGACCGACCCGGGCUUCGGCAGUCAGUCCCCCAUUAUCAGCGACGAUGUCGAGAAUCAGGAUGGAGAGAAGCGCAGCAGAAGGGAACCAUUCACCAAGAAGCAAUGUUGUAGAAAAACCCAUAUUGCGACACUUCUCUUUGUUCUGUACGGUGGCAUGCUGGUGGCGCUGUUGGUGAAGGCCUACUACCCUGUGCCAUCAUCACCAAACUGCUCCCUACUCCUGGCACCCAUCCCUUCUAACGACAUCCUUAAACGGAUCUUCACUGGGAGGUGGAUCAUGCAGGAGGCGUACUCUAGUGACUCCCUUGAUCAGUAUGCCCUGACACACGCUAAGAGCUCCUGGGCAGAGUUCACCAGGAUGCCCGACGGCACCAUUAACCUGGACAUGGCCCACAUGCUGAGUGUCCCGCCAAACAGGACAAUGUGGUGUGUCCACCACCACUUCACGGGCAUUGAGCAACACAACAACACACUUCAACUCAAUCUGCCCGAGUUCAAAUCGUCAGCGACGUUCCAGUUCAUCAAGGCCUGCAAUGAAUGUCUGGCCAUGACGGCUAAAGCAUAUGUGCCUGGAUAUAGCCCUCUGGACUACCUGCUUGUCUAUGGUCUAUAUCCAGACUUACACGAGUAUUACAUCAAACCAACCAGACUGCAGGCCUCCUGCAAGCGCCUGGUGACCCCGCCUCCUUUCAAGUAUUAUGGAGAAGAACUCUGCCCGAAUGACGUGAAUGAGACUGAUUCUGCUGAGGCAAGAGGCAUGGAUUUUAAACACUUCUUUGUUCCACGGUGA
RNAcentral lists this long non-coding RNA (795 nucleotides) under Gadus morhua (Atlantic cod). RNAcentral's name for it is "lncRNA (ENSGMOG00000027693.1)". Lineage: Eukaryota; Metazoa; Chordata; Actinopteri; Gadiformes; Gadidae. The record is from RNAcentral.